RNAcentral lists this ribosomal RNA (253 nucleotides) under uncultured bacterium. RNAcentral's name for it is "partial 16S ribosomal RNA". It matches the Rfam family "Bacterial small subunit ribosomal RNA", at positions 524 to 776 of the family's 1533-position model. The record is from RNAcentral.
UACAGAGGUCCCGAGCGUUGUUCGGAUUCAUUGGGCGUAAAGGGUGUGUAGGAGGUUGGGUAAGUCGGAUGUGAAAUCUCACCGCUUAACGGUGAAAUGGCGUUCGAUACUGCUCAGCUAGAGGAUCGGAGGGGAGAGCGGAAUUCUUGGUGUAGCAGUGAAAUGCGUAGAUAUCAAGAGGAACACCGGUGGCGAAAGCGGCUCUCUGGAAGAUUCCUGACUCUGAAACACGAAAGCUAGGGGAGCAAACGGG